GUUUCAUCCUCCCCACCUCGUUGGCUCGUUCCCCUCUCUCUCGAUCCGGCGAACUGUGUGUGACACGACGCAGCAGCCCACCAGCGAACCCGCCAUGGCCUCCGCCUCCAAGCAGCAGAGCAUGUACCCGGAGGUACCCCAGUCCCACCCCGACCACAACACCGCCUUCCAGUACAACCCCGCCGCCAGCACCGCCACCGGCGCAGGCGAAUCGCUCUACCCCACCAUGGACCCCCACGAGAUGGCCGAGAACCUCUUCCCGGCCGACGCGGCCGAGGACGCCGCCCCAGCCCCGCCCACGGUGGAGGAGGCCCUCGUCGACGUGCCGGGCGCGCAGCUCCACCUCGUCGACCCCGACCGCAGCCUCGACCUCGGCGCCGGCACGCUCUCCGUCGUGCGCCUCCGCCAGGGAGACCACUGCGUCGCCGUCCUCGCGCGCCUCACCCCGGACAAGUCCAACCAGCGGCGCGGGUUUUUCAGCUUCCUCAGCAGCGGCCGCUCCACCGACGCGCAGGAGCCCGUGCAGUGGCCGCUCGCCAGCGACGUCGCUGUCGUCAAGCUCGACGCCGGCCACUACUUCUUCUCGCUCCACGUCCGCACAGCGACCACCCUGACGACAAGGAGGACGACGUGGCGGAGACGGACGCGGACCGGGAGGCGGCGCUGAGCUACGGGCUCACGGUCGCCGGGAAAGGGCAGGAGCAGGUGCUGGAGGAGCUGGACAGGGUCCUGAAGGAGUACACAACCUUCUCCGUCAAGCAGGUCGACGAGGAGGCGGGCGGCAAGUCGGAGGUAAUGGACACUAGGGCGGUGUCGGAGAUCACGCCGGAGGAGGCUGCCGGGGACAAGAAGGAGGAGAUUGAGGAGCAGUCCGCGGCGUUCUGGACGACAAUCGCGCCGAACGUGGACGACUACAGCUCGUCGGUGGCGAGGCUUAUCGCCAAGGGCUCGGGGCAGCUGGUAAGGGGCAUCAUCUGGUGCGGCGACAUCACAGCCUCGGGCCUCAAAUGCGGGGAGGCGGUGUUGAAGAAGGGUGCGGGGGCCAACGGCAAGCCUACGCAGGUGAAGCCGAGCUCCCUCAAGAGGAUGAAGAGGGCCAGAAGGGUCACUAAAAUGUCGAACAAGGUAGCAAACUCAAUUCUCUCAGGUGUUCUCAAGGUCUCGGGAUUUGUUACCAGCACUGUAGUCAACUCCAAACCUGCACAGAAGUUCUUCAAGUUAAUGCCUGGCGAAGUUAUUCUUGCUUCGCUGGACGGAUUUGGUAAAGUAUGGGAUGCUGUUGAGGUAUCUGGCAAGAACGUGAUGAAAACAUCAUCAGUUGUCACAACUUCAGUUGUAACGCACAGGUACGGUGAUCAAGCAGGAGAGAUAACACAGGACUACCUCCACGCCACCGGAAACGCUCUUGGGGUCGCGUGGGCCGUCUUCAAGAUUCGGAAAGCGCUCGACCCAAAGGGACACAUCAAGAAGUUGUCCCUCGCGAGCUCGGCGGCGCACGCUGUGGCCAAGCAAUCGAUAAGCCUGCAAAAGAAGAAGUAAGCCGUCGUCGUGCACUGGUCGAUGAUGGCUCCACUGUAUAUUAUGUUCUUGUCGAGUUUCUUUGUGUGGGCUAAGGUGGUUCCACUGUGCUGUGUAAUGGUGAUGUACGUUCCUUGAGCUGAAUAGCUAGCAGAUUUAGUUGGGUGUUGCACUGCCGCUUGUGGGUUGUGUAGUUCUGCGUACUGUGAUGUGUAUGUGAACAUGCAACAUAGACCUAUUUCGUGAGUUCUUUUGUGGGAUCGUGUCGAGAGAGUGAGGCCACCGGUUUCUGUUGUUCUGCCGUGGUGCGGG
RNAcentral lists this ribosomal RNA (1830 nucleotides) under Triticum aestivum (bread wheat). Its description in RNAcentral is "partial small subunit ribosomal RNA". Lineage: Eukaryota; Viridiplantae; Streptophyta; Magnoliopsida; Poales; Poaceae. The record is from RNAcentral.